Molecule: small nuclear RNA, 176 nt
Filed under: Myotis davidii
Lineage: Eukaryota; Metazoa; Chordata; Mammalia; Chiroptera; Vespertilionidae
Description: U2 spliceosomal RNA
Rfam family: U2 spliceosomal RNA
About the family: U2 is a small nuclear RNA (snRNA) component of the spliceosome (involved in pre-mRNA splicing). Complementary binding between U2 snRNA (in an area lying towards the 5' end but 3' to hairpin I) and the branchpoint sequence (BPS) of the intron results the bulging out of an unpaired adenosine, on the BPS, which initiates a nucleophilic attack at the intronic 5' splice site, thus starting the first of two transesterification reactions that mediate splicing.
Source: Rfam by way of RNAcentral
CUAACCAUCUGAGCUACCAGGCAGGGCUGUUCUUAUCAGUUUAAUAUCUGAUAUGUCCUCUAUCUAAGGACAGCAUAUUAAAUGGACUUCUGAAGCAGGGGAUGGAAUAGGAGCUUGCUGUGUCUAUUCCAAACAUCCACCUGGUAUUGCAGUACUUCGGGAAUGGUGCACCACAA